RNAcentral lists this ribosomal RNA (464 nucleotides) under uncultured Photobacterium sp. RNAcentral describes it as "bacterial SSU rRNA". It matches the Rfam family "Bacterial small subunit ribosomal RNA", at positions 63 to 518 of the family's 1533-position model. The record is from RNAcentral. Lineage: Bacteria; Pseudomonadati; Pseudomonadota; Gammaproteobacteria; Vibrionales; Vibrionaceae.
CGAGCGGCAGCGACUUAACUGAACCUUCGGGGAACGUUAAGGGCGGCGAGCGGCGGACGGGUGAGUAAUGCCUGGGAAUAUGCCCUGAUGUGGGGGAUAAGGAAACGAUAGCUAACACCGCAUAAUCUCUUCGGAGCAAAGAGGGGGACCUUCGGGCCUCUCGCGUCAGGAUUAGCCCAGGUGGGAUUAGCUUGUUGGUGAGGUAAUGGCUCACCAAGGCAACGAUCCCUAGCUGGUCUGAGAGGAUGAUCAGCCACACUGGAACUGAGACACGUCCAGACUCCUACGGAGGCAGCAGUGGGGAAUAUUGCACAUGGGGGAAACCCUGAUGCAGCCUGCCGCGUGUGUGAAGAAGCUUCGGGUUGUAAAGCACUUUCAGUAGGGAGGAAGUAGUGUAGUUAACACCUGCACUAUUUGACGUUACCUACAGAAGAAGCACCGGCUAACUCCGUGCCAGCAGCCGC